GUGUCAGCCGCCGCGGUAAUACAGAGGGUGCAAGCGUUAUUCGGAAUUAUUGGGCGUAAAGCGCAUGUAGGUGGUUUGAUAAGUCUGAUGUGAAAUCCCCGGACUCAAUUCGGGAAGUGCAUUGGAUACUGUUAAACUGGAGUGUGGGAGAGGUAAGCGGAAUUCCAGGUGUAGAGGUGAAAUUCGUAGAUAUCUGGAGGAACAACAGAGGCGAAGGCGGCUUACUGGACCACUACUGACACUGAGAUGCGAAAGCGUGGGGAGCAAACAGGAUUAGAAACCCGCGUAGUCC
Molecule: ribosomal RNA, 292 nt
Filed under: uncultured bacterium
Lineage: Bacteria
Description: partial 16S ribosomal RNA
Rfam family: Bacterial small subunit ribosomal RNA
Source: RNAcentral